CUUAACACAAUUCUCUUCCAUUGUUGAAAUUUUAUCAAAACUAGAGCUCCCAUCAUUUCAAUUGUGAUAAAUCCACCAGAAUUUUAGGCUUUUGCAGACCUAACAACUAUAAUGGUCUUCUCCAUCACUUCAAAGAUUAGGGAUAUGAAGACUUUUGCUUUUUUUCUCCAUCUUUUUUUAUUUUCAAAAUUUGAAUUUUUAGCUUCUUGAAGAAGCUAUUGGAGCUACGUUUUGCCUAUAUAUAUACACCCCCUAUUCAUUCAUUGGGAGGUGUUGGAGAAAGGGGGAUUGGAGACAUCAAGUCCCUAUUUGCUUUUAUUUUCUUUCUUUUCCUAAUUGAAGUCGAAUUUGAGUUUUAAUCGUCGGAGGAACUCCCUUAGUUUGCUACCCCAGAAAAGAUGCAAAUCCGCCUCUUUUUAAUUUCAUCUUUCAUCUCUUUUGUACUUUUUUUUGUUUGACUUAUGUGUAUGUGAUUUAUUCUAUUCUUAAAUUUUUUUAUUGUUGUUGUGUUUCGUUGCCUUUGCAAAUAAAAUGAAAUUCUAGUUUUUGUCAAUUUAGUUCCUGUAUGAAUAUACAAAUUAGCAAGUAAGUGAAUAUGUGAUGUGUUGUUGGCUUCAAGUCGGCCGCGAUGGUGUUGUCUAUUGUCUCUGACUUAAUUUCCUGGAUAUGAUUUUGUUUGGAGCCUAGAUUGAUUAAAUAUGUAUGGUUGAUUCCCUUUUUUGAUUUAUUAUCAAAAUAUAAGUUUGUGAAAACAUGGAAAAGUUUUCUCGUCAAUUUACUCCUCCAGUGAAUAUUUUGUUUUCUAUUCAUUUUUCUUGUUGUUUUGUGGACUGGAGUUAUUAACACAUUUUGGAGAGGUUUUUGGUUCUUAAAUAAAAAAGGUGGAGCUACCUUGGGCUGAUCAUGUCAAUCCGUCUUUGUUUCGCAUUGCUAUUUUCUCUAUCGUCUAUUUCAAUUCUUUGAAUACAAGUUUAUAGGUGCUCAUUUCGUUUAACAUGGCUGUCCAUUUUUUGCAACUUAUGAAACAUCACUUUGUCGCAAUUUUCUCAUUUAUUUUGAAGUGUUGUUUUGCGUGAAAUAAUGUUAAAUCCUUUGUUCUCUGUCUCUAUUUUAUUCAAAUGUGCUUAUGUGAAUACCUUCCCUAUUUUGUUCCAUUUUGUUUAAUAUGAUUGUGCAAAUGGGUGUAUGUGUGUGUCUUGCUUCUGUGGGGUUGUGCAUUAGUAUCANNNNNNNNNNNNNNNNNNNNNNNNNNNNNNNNNNNNNNNNNNNNNNNNNNNNNNNNNNNNNNNNNNNUACUUGAUCUUAAUUUUGACUAACAUGCUCAAAAUCAUAUUACUCAUUUUUGAUAAUUGGGAUCCUUUCCAUAUAUUUGACCAUCCUAGUUUCAUGGUCUUCAUAUUUUCCCUCAUUUUUUCUAUCAAUCGUAUGACACUUCACCAAUUAUACAAAUAUGUAUAAGCACUUCUUCCAGCAGAUUUCUCCAAAUCCUUUAAUAUCUCUCUCUUCUACUCCCGCAAAUGUUAUUCGGUAUAUUUUCUUCAUCCCCAUUACACUCUCCUCUUAUUCUUCUUGGAUUGGCCAUAUAUGUGUUAGUUUUCAACAAUGGACUCUAUAUAUUUUUUCUAGAAUAUUUCCAGUAGUUUGCAUUGUUGCAUUGAAGACAUCAUUGGAGGUCAUCAUUUAAAGGAUCAAGACUUGGUCACCCCGAGGGCACAAAAAUAUGCAAGAAAAACUCGUUUUGAGCACAAGCAAGGCCGUGUGUGGAAGGAUUGCUUGGAGCAUCGAAGACUUGAGGACUCACAGUUUUGGACAACACUUAAUGGGUCAUGAUUUGGUCAUCUUUAUUAAGGGUAUUUUGGUCAUUUUAUUGUGUCCAAAUACACUCCAUGGCCACCCCACCCUUUAAGGACAUUGUUGUCAUUUUGCCUUGUCUUGUAAUAGAAUAUAAAUAAAACAUUUUAGGUCUUUUUCUCAUUAGUUGUUUAUUUAUGGAAGACAAACUCUCUCUCUAGUGUGAGGAGAUUAACACCCCUUAGUUGUAGGGCUUGGAAAAGCCACCAAUUCGUAACUAGGCUGCCCAAGUGUGGAUAUCACUUGUGUUGCAUCGUUGGAUUGAUACGUUGGUGAUUAGGGAGGUAAAGUUCCUAUUUUGUCAAUGUAAGAGUUUGGUG
This 2171-nucleotide long non-coding RNA is filed under the name Capsicum annuum. RNAcentral's name for it is "long non-coding RNA (CANN_LNC014812)". Lineage: Eukaryota; Viridiplantae; Streptophyta; Magnoliopsida; Solanales; Solanaceae. The record is from RNAcentral.